UACGAGGGGGGCAAGCGUUAUCCGGAUUCACUGGGUUUAAAGGGUGCGUAGGUGGGUUGAUAAGUCAGUGGUGAAAUCCCCGAGCUUAACUUGGGAACUGCCAUUGAUACUAUUGAUCUUGAAUACCGUGGAGGUCAGCGGAAUAUGUCAUGUAGCGGUGAAAUGCUUAGAUAUGACAUAGAACACCAAUUGCGAAGGCAGCUGGCUACGCGAAUAUUGACACUGAUGCACGAAAGCGUGGGGAUCAAACAGG
RNAcentral lists this ribosomal RNA (253 nucleotides) under uncultured bacterium. RNAcentral's name for it is "partial 16S ribosomal RNA". It matches the Rfam family "Bacterial small subunit ribosomal RNA", at positions 524 to 776 of the family's 1533-position model. The record is from RNAcentral.